RNAcentral lists this ribozyme (80 nucleotides) under Rhodnius prolixus. RNAcentral describes it as "drz-agam-1 ribozyme". It matches the Rfam family "drz-agam-1 ribozyme". Lineage: Eukaryota; Metazoa; Arthropoda; Insecta; Hemiptera; Reduviidae. The record is from Rfam by way of RNAcentral.
UGCUCGGUAAAAUCUGAUCUCUACCUCCUUGUGGUCCUACCAGGACCUUUUACCUACUAAGAAUAGGCCAACAGAGACGG